This 414-nucleotide ribosomal RNA is filed under the name uncultured Bacillota bacterium. Its description in RNAcentral is "bacterial SSU rRNA". It matches the Rfam family "Bacterial small subunit ribosomal RNA", at positions 258 to 688 of the family's 1533-position model. Lineage: Bacteria; Bacillati; Bacillota. The record is from RNAcentral.
UAACGGCCCACCAAAGCAACGAUGGGUAGCUGGUCUGAGAGGACGACCAGCCACACUGGGAGUGAGACACGGCCCAGACUCCUACGGGAGGCAGCAGUGAGGAAUUUUCCGCAAUGGGCGAAAGCCUGACGGAGCGACGCCGCGUGCACGAGGAAGGUCUUCGGAUCGUAAAGUGCUGUCGAGGGGGACGAUUAUGACGGUACCCCUGGAGGAAGCCCCCGCUAACUACGUGCCAGCAGCCGCGGUAAGACGUAGGGGGCGAGCGUUAUUCGGAAUUAUUGGGCGUAAAGCGUGCGUAGGAGGAUUCGUAAGUCGGGGUUGAAAAAUCCCUGGCUCUUCUCGGGGCACGGCCUCGAUACUGCGGAUCUCGAGUCGAGAAGAGGGUAGUGGAAUUCCCGGUGUAGCGGUGAAAAA